RNAcentral lists this unclassified non-coding RNA (455 nucleotides) under Hevea brasiliensis (rubber tree). The record is from RNAcentral. Lineage: Eukaryota; Viridiplantae; Streptophyta; Magnoliopsida; Malpighiales; Euphorbiaceae.
UUUUGGAAUAAAUGCAGAAAUGUGAUCGAUUGGUCUUUGAUCUAAGAAGGCUAUAACCAAAAUCUAAUGACAUACAUUUGUUCCAGAGACUAAUAUUACUAUAUUGUCUUAACAUAGUGAGUGAAAAUAUGAUUAGCUGUAAUGUAAAAAUCUAAUUUCCCUAAAAGAAGGCAUAACAAUGUAGAAAAUCUAGUUAAGCUAACAAGAAGAUAUAAUAUAGAAAAUUGUUGUUGCUUGGAGUACCAUUCUGAAGUCAUGAGAAAUUGGAUCAUUUUUAAGCAUUUUGAUUUCUGUAGUAGAAAGACAUGUUAGUUUUAUGUGUGCUUGUGAUAUUCAUCAUCUUCUUUUAAUUUUAUAUAUUGAGUUUGUAUGCUCUUCUUUAAGUGGAUGAUUUGAGUCCAACUGGAUUUAUACUUAGUUGUGGUUUCCUUCAGGCUCUUUGUGAGGAGUUAUCG